CAAUAGCGUAUAUUUAAGUUGUUGCAGUUAAAAAGCUCGUAGUUGGAUUUCGGAUGGGAUUUGCCGGUCCGUCGUUACGAUGUGCACUGGCCAGUCCUAUCUUGUUGUCGGGGACUAGCUCCUUGGAUUCACUUCCUGGGACUAGGAGCUGACGAGGUUACUUUGAGUAAAUUAGAGUGUUCAAAGCAAGCCUACGCUCUGAAUACAUUAGCAUGGAAUAACACGAUAGGACUCUGGCUUAUCUUGUUGGUCUGUGAGACCAGAGUAAUGAUUAAGAGGGACAGUCGGGGACAUUCGUAUUUCAUUGUCAGAGGUGAAAUUCUUGGAUUUAUGAAAGACGAACUUCUGCGAAAGCAUUUGUCAAGGAUGUUAUCAUUAA
Molecule: ribosomal RNA, 379 nt
Filed under: uncultured eukaryote
Lineage: Eukaryota
Description: partial 18S ribosomal RNA
Rfam family: Eukaryotic small subunit ribosomal RNA
Source: RNAcentral